GACGAACGCUGGCGGCGUGCUUAACACAUGCCAGUCGAACGGAAAGGCCCUGCUUUUGUGGGGUGCUCGAGUGGCGAACGGGUGAGUAACACGUGAGUAACCUGCCCUUGACUUUGGGAUAACUUCAGGAAACUGGGGCUAAUACCGGAUAGGAGCUCCUGCUGCCUGGUGGGGGUUGGAAAGUUUCGGCGGUUGGGGAUGGACUCGCGGCUUAUCAGCUUGUUGGUGGGGUAGUGGCUUACCAAGGCUUUGACGGAUAGCCGGCCUGAGAGGGUGAACGGCGACAUUGGGACUGAGGUACGGCCCAGACGCGUACGGGAGGCAGCAGUGGGGAAUAUUGCACAAUGGGCGGAAGCCUGAUGCAGCAGCGCCGCGUGCGGGAUGACGGCCUUCGGGUUGUAAACCGCUUUCGCCUGUGACGAAGCGUGAGUGACGGUAAUGGGUAAAGAAGCACCGGCUAACUACGUG
Molecule: ribosomal RNA, 468 nt
Filed under: uncultured bacterium
Lineage: Bacteria
Description: partial 16S ribosomal RNA
Rfam family: Bacterial small subunit ribosomal RNA
Source: RNAcentral